Macaca mulatta (Rhesus monkey) is the source of this 1193-nucleotide non-coding RNA. Lineage: Eukaryota; Metazoa; Chordata; Mammalia; Primates; Cercopithecidae. The record is from RefSeq and is a predicted model, not a curated record.
GCCUCAAGCGAUCUGCCCACCUUGGUCUCCCAAAGUGCUGGAAUUACAGGCGUGAGCCAGCACGCCCAGUCAGCACUUCUUUAUUUGAUUAUCAGGCUUGUUAGCUUCAGGUAAGCUGUGAACUUCAGGACAAGAAAACCCCAAAUACCCACAUCCUAGUAUCCAGUACAGUGUCUCUACCUGGGAGCUGAGACAGCUUACAGGAUGGGCAGGCCGGAGACUUUUUAUUGGAACUAAGUUCAAUAGUCCCUCACGCAGGCUUUGGGGUUGGCCCUGUGGGUUGGAAAUUAGGGUAAAUUAAAUUACUCUCCCUUUAGGGGUUGGUGGAUUUUUAGGAAGCCGGGACUCUGUCAUCAUCUGAAAAUGCCCAUUUCUGAUGCUACUGCCAUUCCCUGUUACCUGAUACUCAAAGCAUCGCCCAGUGUUGGAUGGAGUUUCGGCUGCAUUCACUCAUACAUGAGCCAAAGUCGCUGAAGCCGGCAGGGAUGGGAGCCUGUAGGAGCCACUCUGACCAGUGCGGCAUUGGAGGAACCCUACUGGAGGCCCCUCACGGGAGCAGAUGGCAAGGGCGCCCAGAAACAGAGUCUUGAUAUUUGCUCAGUCUGGACUCCGACUUCUGGGCUCAAGUGAGCCAAUGGCUCAGCCUCUCACGAAACUGGGACUACAGAUGUGAGCCAUUGCACCCAGCUUAUCCUGGGAGUUAUUCAGAAUCAUAUGCUUUGGCACUACCUUGCAGUAAGAAAACUAAGGUGCUUAACCAGUUAGAAGGGCCUCGCUCCUUAUAGGGGUUUCAGAGCAGGGCCAAGAUGGUCCUGAACAAGCCAUGCUGGGACCACCCCCAGGACAAACCGUGGAGAGGUUUUGGACUCCUAAUUAUUUCAGCAAGCAGCUGUGUUCUCCUAAGAGACCCCAAUGCCCUGCACUUCGCCUAUUGUUAUUCUUCCUCCGCCCUCCAGCAGCCACAAUAGUCUUUCUCCGCAGGAAACACCACAACUCUGAGGUCCCAGAACCGCCCCAAAGCCACAGAUGGCUAUUGAGUGCUUUAAAUGGGGCGAGGCGGAGCUCAGAUGUGCUCUCACUGUAAAAUGCACACUGGAUUUUGAAGACUUUUAUGAGAAAAAAGAAUGUGCAGCAAGUCAUUAACAAUUUUCUGUGUUUGUUGAAAUAAUAACAUUUUGGAUAUAACGAGUUAA